UACGGGGGGGGCAAGCGUUGUUCGGAAUUACUGGGCGUAAAGGGCUCGUAGGUGGCCAACUAAGUCGGACGUGAAAUCCCUCAGCUUAACUGGGGAACUGCGUCCGAUACUGGAUGGCUUGAGUUUGGGAGAGGGAUGUGGAAUUCCAGGUGUAGCGGUGAAAUGCGUAGAUAUCUGGAGGAACACCGGUGGCGAAGGCGGCAUCCUGGACCGGUAUUGACGCUGAUGCGCGAAAGCCAGGGGAGCAAACGGG
RNAcentral lists this ribosomal RNA (253 nucleotides) under uncultured bacterium. RNAcentral describes it as "partial 16S ribosomal RNA". It matches the Rfam family "Bacterial small subunit ribosomal RNA", at positions 524 to 776 of the family's 1533-position model. The record is from RNAcentral.